This 638-nucleotide long non-coding RNA is filed under the name Rattus norvegicus (Norway rat). RNAcentral's name for it is "long non-coding RNA NONRATT033837". The record is from RNAcentral. Lineage: Eukaryota; Metazoa; Chordata; Mammalia; Rodentia; Muridae.
ACAUCACAUCCUGUUACUCAUAUGCAAUUGAUGUCCAGACAGGGAAACUGGCCCACCUAGGACAGUGUAGGCAGGCCCCAACCUCCAUACUCAGCAGUAGAAGGAGGCAGAGCAGCCGGUCCCAUGGGGCCUCCUCUUUCAAACACCCACAGACUCAAAGGUAGAAGUGUUUUUCUCCCUUCGGGAGCCUGGCCAGGCAGGGAGUGUGGCUACAGUCUCUAUCAGAACUUGCCUCCCCACACAUAGUCCCCCAAGAUAUUUGUGCACCUCCUGCCUCUGGGCUGCAAGCCCUAGGCUGGCUCUGAACCAGUUUUUAGGCCUCCCUAGUGUUCCCUGAGGUCCCACCUUUGCCAGGGCUCUCCCUGGGCCAUGCCUACUACAGAAUCUGAUUUUUCUUACUUCAUUUCAGGGCUCUCUCCAGGAGAGGAUGAGGUGUGUCAUUUCUUUAUUCAAAAAGCUUCCAGCUAAUGGGGGUAAGAAGAGAAUGGCCUGGAGCAGGCCCAAUGCUGCUUUGGGGGAGUCAGCAUCCUGUGUGAGAUACUGUGUAUAUAAACUAUAUAUAUAAUGUAUAUAAACAGGGAUGUAAGUUUGUAUAAAUUAAUGGUUUAUUCUUUGCAAAUAAAGUGCUCCCUUCUCCA